This 75-nucleotide transfer RNA is filed under the name Virgisporangium aliadipatigenens. Its description in RNAcentral is "tRNA-Leu". It matches the Rfam family "tRNA". From Rfam's summary of the family: Transfer RNA (tRNA) molecules are approximately 80 nucleotides in length. Their secondary structure includes four short double-helical elements and three loops (D, anti-codon, and T loops). Further hydrogen bonds mediate the characteristic L-shaped molecular structure. tRNAs have two regions of fundamental functional importance: the anti-codon, which is responsible for specific mRNA codon recognition, and the 3' end, to which the tRNAs corresponding amino acid is attached (by aminoacyl-tRNA synthetases). tRNAs cope with the degeneracy of the genetic code in two manners: having more than one tRNA (with a specific anti-codon) for a particular amino acid; and 'wobble' base-pairing, i.e. permitting non-standard base-pairing at the 3rd anti-codon position. The record is from RNAcentral. Lineage: Bacteria; Bacillati; Actinomycetota; Actinomycetes; Micromonosporales; Micromonosporaceae.
UGGGGUCGUAGCGCAGAGGUAGUCGCGCCCGCACUCAAGCUGGAGGACGCCGGUUCGAAUCCGGCCGGCCCCAUC